AUUGAACGCUGGCGGCAUGCCUUACACAUGCAAGUCGAACGGCAGCACGGGAGCAAUCCUGGUGGCGAGUGGCGAACGGGUGAGUAAAGUAUCGGAACGUGCCCAGUCGUGGGGGAUAACGUAGCGAAAGUUACGCUAAUACCGCAUACGAUCUACGGAUGAAAGCGGGGGAUCGCAAGACCUCGCGCGAUUGGAGCGGCCGAUAUCAGAUUAGGUAGUUGGUGGGGUAAAGGCUCACCAAGCCGACGAUCUGUAGCUGGUCUGAGAGGACGACCAGCCACACUGGGACUGAGACACGGCCCAGACUCCGACGGGAGGCAGCAGUGGGGAAUUUUGGACAAUGGGCGCAAGCCUGAUCCAGCCAUGCCGCGUGCAGGAUGAAGGCCUUCGGGUUGUAAACUGCUUUUGUACGGAACGAAAAGGUUUGACUUAAUACGUUGGACUCAUGACGGUACCGUAAGAAUAAGCACCGGCUAACUACGUGCCAGCAGCCGCAGUAA
RNAcentral lists this ribosomal RNA (500 nucleotides) under uncultured bacterium. RNAcentral's name for it is "partial 16S ribosomal RNA". It matches the Rfam family "Bacterial small subunit ribosomal RNA", at positions 30 to 523 of the family's 1533-position model. The record is from RNAcentral.